GACUACUGGGGUAUCUAAUCCUGUUUGCUCCCCACGCUUUCACGCCUUAGCGUCAGUAAUGUUCCAGGAGAUCGCCUUCGCUUUAGAUAUUCCUAGUGAUAUCUACGGAUUUUACCCCUACACCACUAAUUCCAUCUCCCCCUCCCAUACUCUAGUCUAGCAGUUUCAAGUGCAGUUCUAUGGUUGAGCCAUAGGAUUUCACACCUGACUUGCUAAACAGCCUACGCGUCCUUUACGCCCAGUGAUUCCGAGUAACGCUUGCACCCUCCGUAUUACCGCGGCUGCUGGCACGGAGUUAGCCGGUGCUUAUUCAUGAGCUACCGUCAUUUUCUUGACUCAUAAAAGGAGUUUACACACCGAAAUGCGUCAUCCUCCACGCGGCGUUGCUGCAUCAGGGUUUCCCCCAUUGUGCAAUAUUCCUCACUGCAGCCGCCCGUAGG
RNAcentral lists this ribosomal RNA (440 nucleotides) under uncultured Sulfurimonas sp. Its description in RNAcentral is "partial 16S ribosomal RNA". The record is from RNAcentral. Lineage: Bacteria; Pseudomonadati; Campylobacterota; Epsilonproteobacteria; Campylobacterales; Sulfurimonadaceae.